Long non-coding RNA from Mauremys reevesii (Reeves's turtle), 1205 nucleotides. RefSeq lists it as uncharacterized. Lineage: Eukaryota; Metazoa; Chordata; Testudines; Geoemydidae. The transcript is spliced from 4 exons. The record is from RefSeq and is a predicted model, not a curated record.
CCCAGAUUGUGGGUUGCUGCUAGGGGGCAGAACCCUGAGGUAAAGGGCACUGGGGUCCAGGAAGGACACGGGGGGCCAGCGGCAGACGAGACACCGGCUUGCAGAGGGCGCUCCAGAGGCUGGAAAAGCUAAUUCCCAGGAUGACUAGCAGGAGGUGCUGCGCCGGUAGCACUGUAAAGAGGCUUCUAAUGAAUGAAAUCAACCGUCCAUUUCUGAAACCACAAGCAGUCUGAAUCCCAACCAGAUCUCUUGGGAUCAGCUCAGCAAUACUCCAUUCCUAAUGGCAGAAUGAUUGAUUCCAGCUAGAUCCAUUGGCUCUGGUAUCCCAUUCCUGUCCUCCACUGUUACCCCUCGGCUUUGGUUCCUGACUACUGAUGACUGCUCCAACCACUAGGCCUGAUGCCUGCUCAUUCCGGUUGACUGACACUGCAUAAGAUGUACACAAUUUACAUACCCUGAAGGUGGAAUGGACUGUGCCAGUGCUGGAAAAGAAGGUGGUUGAAGAAAUUUCUGAAUAAUAAGUAUAUGAAGUGUUGGCAUAUAGGUUUCUCGGUCCCUGGCUGUGUCCUUGGUGUAUUGUUGGAAUGCCUGAGAUUGACAUGGUAGAUGUAUAUCAUGGCAUACAUCACUGUUUUUAAUGGGGUUUAGUGUACAGAUCUGUGUAAGGUUGCUGAUUUGCAGUGUCUAGAGCUGCAGUUUUCAAACUUUUGAGUUACAAUUUUUGGUUGCGUGGCCCACCUCUAAACCAGACAAAAAUAGACACAAUACCUGCCCCUCCCGCCUCAGGUUUUCAGGAUGGGGGAAGGCACGUGUGAUGGUCUCUUAAGGACAGAGCCGGCAGUGAGCACAGAGGCUGCCAGGAGUGGAAAUCAGCAUGGCCGUAGCAGUUGACACUGACCCACAGGCUGGGUGGCCUGCUGAGAUGAAUCGGGGUUGGAGGUGGUGCUGCUGGCCGGAGCCCCUUUGGGAGUCACUGCUCCCGGCUCAAGCCCUGCCAGGCAUUGCUGCUUGCCCCCCUGAACAUUCUUCCACACCCCCCGAGGGAGGCACACCCCACAGUUUGAAAACCUCUGUCUAGAGAAUGUCAGGGGUUACUUGACUAAAUGGCUGAGCUGCCAGCUUUUAAAAUAUUUUUUUCAAAUUCAACAAAUGAUUGUGUUUCAGAACUAGACACUUGAUUCAUUAUAGCUCGUCCAUUCAUAAUA